GAGGAAUAUUGGUCAAUGGGCGGGAGCCUGAACCAGCCAAGUCGCGUGAAGGAAGAAGGAUCUAUGGUUCGUAAACUUCUUUUGCAGGGGAAUAAAGUGCAGGACGUGUCCUGUUUUGUAUGUACCCUGAGAAUAAGGAUCGGCUAACUACGUGCCAGCAGCCGCGGUAAUACGGAGGAUCCGAGCGUUAUCCGGAUUCAUUGGGUUUAAAGGGUGCGUAGGUGGUUUGAUAAGUCAGCGGUGAAAGUUUGCAGCUUAACUGUAAAAAUGCCGUUGAAACUGUCGGACUUGAGUGUAAAUGAGGUAGGCGGAAUGCGGGGUGUAGCGGUGAAAUGCAUAGAUAUCACGCAGAACUCCGAUUGCGAAGGCAGCUUACUAAGCUACAACUGACACUGAAGCACGAAAGCGUGGGGAUCAAACA
Molecule: ribosomal RNA, 421 nt
Filed under: uncultured bacterium
Lineage: Bacteria
Description: bacterial SSU rRNA
Rfam family: Bacterial small subunit ribosomal RNA
Source: RNAcentral